CUUUUUCUUUCCAUUAAUUUUGUUCCCCACUCCAUCAACUCCACUACCCUAUGCUCCCCACCAUCUCCACUACCUUUGCUCCCCAUCAACUCCAACACUUCACCCAUUCCUUCCAUUUCGCACCAGCAAUCACAAAGAGAAGGAAGACUUGGCUUAACUACUUUGCCAAGAUUUCAAGCUGCUCCAGUCCAGUAGUACCCCAACACUCGAAGCUAGAGUUUAUUGGGUGAAAAACCGUGCAUGAGGUCGAGCGCAAGAAUAAGAGCUCGUCAAGGAGUCACUAAUCUGUAGCAAAGCUUUGCUAUCAGGUGGGUUACUUUCAUAUAUAUCAAAUGAGUUUAAUGUUAUGUUUGAACAGUUAUUUCAUUGCAAAAUCUUUGAACUGAAAAUUAUUUCAAAUGUUGUCUUGCCAUAAAUGUUUCAAUGUUUGGUAUGAUAUCUAUCUGAUGUGGCUUUGCCAGUUAUUAUGCAAUCGAAUUCGGGUCCUGAGCAGUUGAUAGCUAUCCUGCCAGGGCUAGUGUACACCAGUGACCGUGAGUCAUCUAGCGGGUUGGCCGGUCAAGUGACCGUGAGAGGUGGCCACCUCUCCGGCACACAGUUCCAGAUAUGAUAGAUUACAAGAGAACUUAGUCUGCAGACGAACUUUAAGAAUCACAAAUGAAUUUAGUAAGCUUGGGCCUUUUUAGCGAAAAACUCCCUUGCUGUACUGUUUAUGAUGGCAUGACAAUUUACAACUUUACGAAGCAUGUUAUAUUUCAUAGUAGGCAUAUGUGCCCACUGAGUACUUUUGUACUCAGCCCUGCAUAUAUUUCUAAAUGUGCAGGUUAAGCAGCUGCCGAUGGUGAUGAAGUGACGAGCGGGACUCUUUUGUCUUAUUAUGUAUUAAUGAACUCUAGGGUUACAUGUCUUCAUACAUGUAAUCAGAACCUUAUUCCGCUGCGUACUCAGAAGUUUUAUGUUAUUUUGGAUAAGUCGGAGUUAUCCGAACUUGUUAGUUAUUUGAGUCUAUACGACAAAAACUCUGUUAUAUUAUAGAUAUCCAUGUUGUUAACAAUGAUGAAAUACGAUCCUUUCUUGUUUGAUUA
This is a long non-coding RNA of Salvia miltiorrhiza (redroot sage), 1085 nucleotides long. RefSeq lists it as uncharacterized. The record is from RefSeq and is a predicted model, not a curated record. The transcript is spliced from 2 exons. NCBI's taxonomy places the organism in Eukaryota, Viridiplantae, Streptophyta, Magnoliopsida, Lamiales, Lamiaceae.